Molecule: long non-coding RNA, 6851 nt
Organism: Camelus dromedarius (Arabian camel)
Lineage: Eukaryota; Metazoa; Chordata; Mammalia; Artiodactyla; Camelidae
Exons: 2
Source: RefSeq, a predicted model, not a curated record
CGGGGCUAAAGGCCUCCCAAGUUCCGGGAAGAAAGCGGGGCUGAAGUAGUCCACUAUUGGUUUAAUAUAAGCAAUAUCUGACUAAGAAGAAGAUAUAUAAAAGUAUAUAUUGACUAAAUCACUGUGGCAGCUGGUGGCCUUCAGUCGACUGAAUCAUGGACCUGUGAUUUGAUCUCCACUCACCAUUUAUUCUCUUAAUUCAUCACACAGAGCAUCUCAAAGUGUUCCAUGUGAAGGGGAACACAUGUUUAAAAGUCAUCUGAAAAAGAAGAAAGAUGUAUGUUCUUGUAUUUAAAACAUGAGCCUCUAGGACACUUUUCAGAACUCAGAGCUUGAGAACUUCAAGUUGGAGAAGCAGGAAUAACAUAAUCAGCAUUCUGUACAUUCUUAGUAUCACGUUUCCCAGAAAACAGGCUUUUCGGUGUAUUCAUUACUGCUACACAUUUGUUCUUUGCCUGUUCUUUGCAGCAUCAAAGAUAAGGUCAAAAUUAAAAUAAUCCAAACUGGAUGUGGGGGAAAGGCGAAGAAGCUGAGCUCUGAGCAGGAGCAGAGCCCCACCGCUCCCAGAAAGCAAUCUGUUUCAAAGAGGACUGUGGGAAGUCACAGAAUGCAAGACGAACCAGUCAGUCAGGUUUGGAAUAAUUCAGUUCAUACCUUUGUACCCUGUAUCCCAUAAGGUGUGUUUGGCUAUAGAUAACUGAAAAUCCAACUACUGUAAACAAACACCAUUUCCUCACACAACUGAAGGUCUAUAAGUAGGAGGUUCCUGGUACUGGUUAAGCUGUCCACCAGUGUCACUUAGGACCAGGCUCCUACUUUGCUUCUUGGUAUCAUCACUGGAGGGGUGUCUCAUCCUUUGACCACUAGGAUGUAGGCCAGGGACAAACCAGCCGCCUGCUUCCUGCUGGUCCUGAACAACCCAUUUCAAUGUUUCUCUCUGCGUUAGGAAAUGGACCUUUCCCUCUCUGAUGAAAAUUGACCCCAUCUUUCUUCUUGAGUCAUUCUCUUGUUUAUUCACUCCUCUCUUCAGUAACUACGGAUUGAUAUACACAUCCAAAACUAAAGAGUGUCUGUCCUUAGCAACCUUAAGUUCAGGAUUUCUAUGUGAUCUUGUUACCACAAUUGAAGUAGGAAAAACAGACCUACGAGCUAUAACUGUUGGAAGAGAAAAUGUAAAAUGCUUUUAUUAAUAGAGAACAUUAGACUAUUUCAAAAAUACUGGAAAAAUUUUAAAAAUCAGUAAGAUUGCCAUAAACCAGACAGUAAGAAAUAAAGAUACAUAGAUCAACACACACAGAAUUUCCAUAACCCUAACAAGUAUGUUAAAAAGGAGAUUCACAGUAGAAUCAUAAAGAUGUAAAAUGUCUGGGAUUUAUUUGUUAGGAAAUGCAAGGGACUUAUAGGAAGAUAACUUUCUGGGAGGAACUAGAAGUAAAAUUGCUUAAAUGAAGAUAAGUAUCAUGUUCGAGGAUGGGAAGGCCAAGUAUAAAUCCCAAAUCAUCAUUAGGCUCAAUACAAUCGCACGUGAAGUGACCAUGGGGCUCUUUGGGAGCCUGGCCCUUGGACUUGGCUCUGUACUGUCCUUCUCAAAAUGUGAGGGAAGGUACUCACUACCAUUCCUCCCAAGAACAAUCGAAUUAGAUUCAAACAAGGCGAAAUGCCCCCAGGAAGUACUAGUUCAAAAAAUUUCCCAUAAAUUCAGGCUUCAAAGUCAUCAACAGCAUACAGUAAUAACCAUAGGACUUUCUGUGUGUGUGGUGGUGGCAGGGGAUGCAUCUGGUAGUUCAGCAAAUUUGCACAAUUUUUUUUUUGAAUUGAAGUAUGUGGUUUGUUCCAAGCACCUGACUGAGUCAGCUAAGCAACAAGCUGCCUGACCCUGCAAUAUCUGAUUACCUGUGCUGGCUGCUUCUAGGAGUCCCUAGAUUGUGUCUCAGCAUUACUAGGGGCAGAAGGUGGUUGGGAGCAAGAAGUUUGUCGUGUAAGAAGAUUUUUUUGGCCACAAAUAACAGAACAUGCUACCAUUCUUUAUCUUACAUUGCAGGAAACCCAGAGGCAGGGGCUUCCAGGGGUGCUUUCAGGGACUCUGCAUCUCUUGACUCAGCCCUCAGUGUAUUGUCUUGGUUGUUCCUAAGGCUUAUAUCCUCAUGGUCAUGGUCUCAAGUGGUUGUUGCAGUUUUAAGCAUCACAUGAAACCAUACAUUUGGCUGAAGAUUCAGCGUCAGGAAAUGUUUUUGUUUCCUUUGCCACUGUAACGAAUUACCACAAACUUUGUGGCUUAAAACAGCACAAACUUAUCGUCUCACCGCUCUAGAAGUCAGAAGUCCAAAAUGGGUCUUACUGGGUUAAAAUCAACACAUUGGCAGGGCUGCUUUUCUUCUAGAGGCUCGAGGGGAGAAUCCAUUUCCUCACCUUCUCCAGCUUCCAGAGUCUUCUGCACUCCUUGGCUCGUGGCCUCCUCCUCCAUCCCCAGAGCCUGCAGUGUAGCAUCUUCAAAUCUCUCUCUGACUCUGACCUCCUUUUCAUCAUCAUGAUGCCUUCUCUAACCCUGAGUCUUCUGCCUCUUCUUGAACAAGGAUGAUUGUGGACCCACCACAGUUAAUCCUGGAUACUGUCAUGUCAAGAUCUUGGACUUGAUUACAUCUGUAAAGCCCCCUUUGCCCUGUAAGAUAACAAAUUCACAGGCUCCAGGCAUUAGGAUGUGGGCAGUUUUGGGGAGCUACUACCCUGCCUACAACAGUGAAGGAAUCAGGCCGUUCAGAAGCCUUCUUUCUUGUAGACUUUCUCUUACCCCACUGGCCAGGAUUGAUAGAUGUGUCCAUGUCCCGACUGUGACCAAAGCUGGGAAGGAGAGUGGCUGGCGUUUUCGCAUCUGUAGAGGAAGCUGACCUCUCCACGAUGAAGGAGGGUGGCACAGCCACAGCGGCCGGCAUAGAAGUCGGCUUGGGUGAGCGCAUCUGCCCCAGAAGCCUCUCCUCGAGUUGAGUCAGAAGGCCAUCUGCUCACCCAAGAUGAUGCUGAUGCUGGAAGUUUCUGGACUUCUACCAGCAGAGAUCUGGAACUGAACCAAGUCUCAACAUCCAGGUAGCAGCAAGGAGAUGGGGUCUUGGUAGAGGGCUUGACGGUAGAGCUGGAAAGGAAAGGUGGUAUGUUCCAUGGAGUCUAAGGAAGAGCAAGAGCUGUCCCUUGGGUCUAGGGGGAAAAUCAGCUUUUCAAAGGAUUCUCAUGAAAGGAGAGGGAGAGGAAGCUCUUCAGAGUCCCUGUGUGGGGUCUUUCCCCAGAACACUCCAUAUGCCCUUUUGAGCAGGAAUGAAUGAGGUUCCUCAAAAUUCCAGUAUCAUCCUUGGGAGUAAAGACACUUCACUAGGCAGUGGUAUGUCUUUAAAAACAUUUUUUUUUUAAGGGGGGGAGGGUAUCACUCAAUUGGUAGAGUGCAUGCUUAGCAUACAUGAGGUCCUAGGUUCAAUUGCCGGUGCCUCCAUUAAAAAAAAAAUAACCUCUCCCUCCAAUAAAAUAAAAUAAGAUAGAGCAGGGCUUAGCAAAUGUUAAAAAAAUUAAACCAUUUUCCUUCUAGUUUUAUUAAGAUAUAACUGACAUACAACACUUUUUAAAAAUUUUUUAAAUUUGGGGGGGUAGCUACUAGGUUUAUUCAUUUAUUUACUUAUUUUAAUGGAGGUACUGGGAAUUGAACCCAGGACCUCGUGCAUGCUAAGCACACCCUCUACCACUGAGCUAUACCCUCCCCACGACACUGUGUAUGUUUAAUGUGUACAACAUGAUUAUUUGACUGUCAUACAUCAUGAAAUGAUGAUCACAAUAAGUUUUGUGAAAAUCCAUCAUCUCUUACAGAUAUAAAAUUAAACAAAUAGAAAAAAAACUUUUCCCUUGUGAUGAGAACUCUUAGGAUCUACUCUCUUAACUUUCAUAUAUAGCAUUCAGCAGCAUUAAGUAUAUUUACCAUCUGUACAUUAUUUCCCAAUACUUCUCUUGUAACUAACAUUUUUGCCCUUUGACUGUUUUCAUACAGUUCCCCCAUUCCCCGCUCUGGUAACCACAAAUCUGAUUUCUGUUUCUAUAGAUUUGUCUAUUUGGUUGUUUGUUUCUGAAGUAUGAUUGACUUACAAUAGAAUACUAUGUUAGUUUCUGUUAUACAACAUAGUGAUUUGAUAUUUCAAUAUAUUUCAAAAUGAUCACCACAAGUCUAUUUACCAUCUGUCACCAUUCAAAGAUAUUACAUAAUUAUUGACUAUAUUCCCCACAGUGUACAUUUCAUACCUGUGACCCAUUUAUUUUGCAACUGGAAGUUUGUACCUCUUAAUCGCCCUCACCUAUUUCUCUCCUCCCCCUCAUGCUCCUCUCUGUCAACUACCUGCUUCUUCUCUGUGUCUAUCACUCUGCUUUGUUAAGUUUGUUCAUUUGUUUUAAUUUUUAGAUUACACAUGUAAGUGAAAUCAUACAGUAUUUGCCUUUCUCUGUCUUACAUUUCCCUUAGCAUAAUACCCUCCAGGUCCAUCCAUGUUGUUGCAAAUGGUAAGAUUUCAUUUUAUGGCUGAGUAAUAAAACAUUGCAUUCCCUGAUGAUUAGUGACGUUGAGCAUCUUUUCAUGUGCCUGUUGGCCACCUGUAUGUCUUUCUUGGAAAAAUAUUCUGAUCCUUUGCCCAUUUUGAAACAGUUUUUUUUUUUUUGAUGUUGAGUUUUAUGAUUUCUUUGUAUAUUUUGAAUAUUAAACCCUUGUUGGAUAUAUCAUUUGCAAAUAUUUUCUUCCAUUCAGUUGGCAGCCUUUUCGAUUUUUUGAUAGUUUCCUUUGCUGUGCAAAAGCUUUUUAGUUUGACGUAGUCCUGUGUGUUUAUUUUUGCUUUUUUUUCCCCUUGCCUGAGGAGACGUAUCUUCUCCAAAAAUAUUACUAAAACUAAUGUCAUAGAGUGUACUGAUUAUGUUUUCCUUUACAUGUUUUAUGGUUUCAGGUCUUACAUUUAAGUCUUUAAUCCAUUUUGAAUUUGUUUUUAUGCAUGGUGUGAGAAAGUAGUUAAGUUUGAGUCUUUUGCACAUAGCUGUCCAGUUUUCCCAACACUGUGUAUUGAAGAGAACAUCUUCUCCCCAUUGUAUAUUCUCGCCUCCCUUGUUGUAGAUUAAUCGCCCAUGUAAGUGUGGGUUCGUUUCUGGUCUUUCUAUUCUGUUCCAUUGAUCUAUGUGUCUGUUUUUGUGCCAGUAUCAUACUGUUUGGAUUAUUGUAGCUUUGUAGUACAGUUUGAAAUGAAGAAACCUGCUCCUCCAGCUUUGUUCUUCUUUCUCAAGAUAGUUUGGCUAUUUGGGGUCUUUUGUGUUUCCAUACGAAUUUUAUAAUUAUUUGUUCUAGGCCUGUGAAAAAUGCCGUUGGUAUUUUGAUAGGGAUUGCACUGAAUCUGUAUAUUGCCUUGAGUAGUGUGGUUAUUUUAACAAUAUGAAUUAAUGCAAUUCAUGAACAUAAUACAUCUUUCCAUCUGUUUGUGUCAUCUUCAGUUUCUUUCCUCAGUGUCUGAUAAUUUUCCCAGAACAGAUCUUUUACAACCUUAGAUUUAUUCCUAGGUGUUUUAUUCUUUUUAAUACAAUUGUAAAUGGGAUUAUUUUCUUAAAUUCUCUUUCUGAUAGUUUAUUGUUAGUGUACAGAAAUGCUACAAGUUUCAGCGAAUUAACUGUGUAUCCUUCAACUUUACAGAAUUCAUUGAUGAGUUAUAGUAGUUCUGUGUGUGGUAUGUUUCUUUAAUCCUGCCUGGACACUGGCUAUGCCCAUAGAAACAUGAAGAUGCAAACAACUAUUUAUGAUACCUCUCUUAAAGUUAGUGGUAGAAUGCCAUUUGUGAAACAUUGGUGAGUUAGUAUAAAAUUCUGACUUGCUUGACAUGACAGGGCUAUGCAAGAAAGAAACAGGUAGCAUAUUUUUCAGCUCUUUUCUGUGACUACCAUAAAAUUGUACAUACACUGAUCCCCAUGAUACUAAAAGAUAAAUGAUCUCUGCAUGACACUUCAGAUUUGGUAGUUCUCUGAUUCAUACGUGAUGUAAAAUAUAUACACUGUUGUCAUUGAUAACGUCUACAUUUUAUUACCAAUGGGAAUCACUUCUCUUUUUUAAUUGAAAUAUAGUCAGUCUACAGUGUUGUGUCAAUUUCUAGUGUACAGCAUAAUAUUUCAGUCAUAGAUAUACAUACGUAUAUUCUUUUUCAUAUUCUCUUCCAUUAUAGGUUACUACAAGGUAUUGAACAUAGUUCCCUGUGCUAUACAGUAGAAACUUGUUGUUUAUUUUAUAUAUAGUAGUUAGUAUCUGCAAAUCUCAAACUCCUAAUUUAUCUUUUCCCACCUACUUCCCCUUCGUAACCAUAAGUCUGUUUUCUAUGUCUGUGAGUCUGUUCUAUUUUGUAAAAUAAGUUCAUUUGUGUCUCUUUUUUUUUUUUUAAGAUUUCACAUAUGAGUGAUAUAAUAUGGUAUUUUUCUUUCUAUUUCUGGCUUGCUUCACUUAGAAUGACGAUCUCCAGGUCCAUUCGUAUGGCUAUAAAUGGCAUUUUAUUUUUUAUGGCUGAGUAGUAGUCCAGUGUAUAUAUAUACCAUGUCAUCUUUAUUCAGUCAACAGAUGGCAUUCAUUUCUAUGAGGCAUUGUCCAUCAGGCUUAGACCUUGAGUCCCAUUAAAUGAUGUUUCUAUUGCAAAUCAAGGGCAUAUGUAGAUCAUAACUGCUCAUACCACGUCAUCUAUGACUGCCAGGAGCCACGAGUGCAAAGUUGUAUUGCACUCAGGUACCUAUUUAUGGGUCAAAAAUAACUUGUGGAUUCUGCCUCCUUUGUGGUUUAUCUCUGAUGUCAAAUAAAAUGGAAUUCCAACCAA